This 780-nucleotide ribosomal RNA is filed under the name uncultured marine bacterium. RNAcentral's name for it is "bacterial SSU rRNA". It matches the Rfam family "Bacterial small subunit ribosomal RNA", at positions 60 to 888 of the family's 1533-position model. The record is from RNAcentral.
AGUCGAACGAAGUAGCAAUACUUAGUGGCAGACGGGUGAGUAACAUGUAGGUAUCUACCCUUUGGCCUGGAAUAACACGAGGAAACUUGUGCUAAUACCGGAUAAGUCUUUACAGAGAAAGCUUUAUGCACCAUUGGAUGAGCCUGCACUUGAUUAGUUUGUCGGUGGGGUAAUGGCCUACCAAGACUGUGAUCAAUAGCUGAUUUGAGAGGAUGAUCAGCCACAUUGGGACUGAGACACGGCCCAAACUCCUACGGGAGGCAGCAGUGGGGAAUCUUGCACAAUGGAGGAAACUCUGAUGCAGCGAUGCCGCGUGAGUGAAGAAGGCCCUUGGGUUGUAAAGCUCUUUCGUCGGGGAAGAAAAUGACUGUACCCGAAUAAGAAGGUCCGGCUAACUUCGUGCCAGCAGCCGCGGUAAUACGAAGGGACCUAGCGUAGUUCGGAAUUACUGGGCUUAAAGAGUUCGUAGGUGGUUGAAAAAGCUGGUGGUGAAAUCCCAGAGCUUAACUCUGGAACUGCCAUCAAAACUUUUCAGCUAGAGUAUGAUAGAGGAAAGCAGAAUUUCUAGUGUAGAGGUGAAAUUCGUAGAUAUUAGAAAGAAUACCAAUUGCGAAGGCAGCUUUCUGGAUCAUUACUGACACUGAGGAACGAAAGCAUGGGUAGCGAAGAGGAUUAGAUACCCUCGUAGUCCAUGCCGUAAACGAUGUGUGUUAGACGUUGGAAAUUUAUUUUCAGUGUCGCAGCGAAAGCGAUAAACACACCGCCUGGGGAGUACGACCG